Molecule: long non-coding RNA, 1124 nt
Organism: Lineus longissimus
Lineage: Eukaryota; Metazoa; Nemertea; Pilidiophora; Heteronemertea; Lineidae
Exons: 3
Source: RefSeq, a predicted model, not a curated record
ACGACUGUACUCUCUAAUUUUUGCCUUGGCCUCCAGAAAUAAUAGUGUAUUUUCAAAUUCUUUCUUAUCAAACCUGAGUGUGUGUUAUUAUUGCACCACCAAUAUCCAAUUUGAUAACCAGUACGCAUGUACCCAAUGGUUUGGUUGUCUAAUUUUCUAAUUGUAAUUUCUAAUUCUAGUGUGAAAGUCAAUAGUUCCCUUUUUUGUCAUGGUAACGUUGUGGGCAUUUUCUAUUCUUGGCUCACAUGGGUGAGCUUAUAUGCUUACGAUUUCAUCUUGUCCAGCAUUGUUGGCUUUGACUUUGUCUGUCGUUAAGCACUUUUAUCAUAUACCCUAAGUGCAGUGAUCUGGCAGACGUAUAUGAUAAAUAGAAAACUGCACGAGUGUCUGAUCCGAGUAUCCAGAUUGCACUCGAUGAUUUUCUACGCAGGUCGAGAGCUUUUCAAGCCGUAGAAAAUCAUCUCGUGCAAUCUGGAUACUCGGAUCAGACACUCGUGCGGUUUUCUUAUUGUACAUGUACAUGUAAGAAGCACUAUCAAUGGAAACACGUACCACUUUUUUCAGAAAAGAAAAGCCAGCAAGGGAAAAGCAAGCAAGGCGAAGGGAGACUAUUGCGCAGCUGAGAGAAUAGACAACUACGACCCCAAAAACAACACGUAUUACAUAAAGUGGCAAGGAUAUGAUGCGUCCCACAACUCAUGGGUGAAAGCGGAAGACGUAACUUCUCCUCUCAUCUCUUCUUACAAAGAGAAAUUAGGUUUCGGAACGCACAAGAAGUGAUGCACCUCAUGUCUUUCGAUUGUUGAAAAAAUUGAUGUGAAUUUGUGCAAAUCCUCCCGCCUGUGUUUUUUUGUUCAGUGGAAUUCACGUAUUUCGGUAUUCCUUCUUCACCUCCACGCAUUAUUCAUUCUGACAUAAACUCACAUGAUCACUUUUGAUGAAAGAUUACAUAAUGGAUAAUAUUGAAUUCGCACAAAUAUAGUACAAUGUAAACUUAUCAUAUCUUUCAAAGGUCUCAUUAAAAGUAAAUGUAAGUUACAUGUACAUGUACUGUGGAAUUAUUGUUUUUUCAGACAAUCUGUGGCUGUUGUAUACAUGUAUCAUUCAAUAAACGUGGCGUUUUU